Molecule: non-coding RNA, 7444 nt
Organism: Vicugna pacos (alpaca)
Lineage: Eukaryota; Metazoa; Chordata; Mammalia; Artiodactyla; Camelidae
Source: RefSeq, a predicted model, not a curated record
UUUGUUUUAAAUGAUGAACAUUUGUUUUAAAUAAAUGUUACACAUAGGAAUUUAUUUAAUCAAUUAUUUUAAUUAAAUCGAUAUUACUAUUUUUAAAAUUCAGUUAUAAUCUGGUUAAACUAAUUUCUCAAUACAAUUUCCCCUUAUUUCCUAGUACCAAGGAUAUGGAAUUUCUACUCUUAUUCAAUGGCCUUCCAUGCCUGUGUUCCUAUUUCUACUUUAUACAUCUACCAUCUCAAUGUUCAAAGCUUGCUUAUAGAAUUACUUCUGAUUAUUUUUUCAAAGUCUGACCAAAUAGACAUUUUUAGACUAGAUUUUGCAUUAAUCUUAGCUAAAGGUCCUUUUGUCCUAAGUUUGGUCUCCCCUUAAUAUUCUAGUCCUGUUUCAGUCUCCAGACUUAUAUUCCCUUAAACCUAUCCCCAGGUUAAACCAUCCAUCUGUGUAUGUGUUGGGAAGAAGCUGAUUCAAGAUGUUAGGUGUAGCUAUGCGUCUGGUUGGCAGAGAAAUGAGAUGCUUGGAAUGGCCUCUGGAAAAAAAAAAUUUAAGAUCAUAAAUGAAAUCUUCAUUUCCGAAAAUAAUUAAAGACUAACAUAUUAUUGUAUCUCCUCUGUCCCUAGCACUAUGAAAGCAAUUGUGGGUCUAAAUUACCAGGCUAUCAGAUUUGGAGUAUUUUUAAUAGACAUUAGGGAAACCGUUGAAUGGUUUGUGUAUGAGGCAUUUACCUUAACCUCUCUGGGUACCAACUUUUCAGAUGAAAAAUGAAGAUCAAAAUAAAAAAAUUGUCAGUAGAGCUAUCCUUCUUAUUGUGCCCAUGACAGUAUUUACACAGGUCUCCAUGACAUUCUAAGAAACCAGUUUUGUUGAUUAGAAUUUGUCUUCAAGACAAAACCUAUAUGCCGUACCAGGGCUGGAUGGUCAUUUGCUUCUCUUAUGAUGCUUGCAUUCCAAGUCUCUGAUUCUAUAACAAGCCUGAGGAAGGACAAAAAAGAUGUGUAGUUCAUGAUUUCUGCUUGGUAGGAACAUGCAAUUUGGGUGCGAGGAAAGAAAAAAUAAAUUAAGAGGAACUGUGUACAUAUUUAUCAAGUGUAAGACUUAGCUACUAGUAGUCAAAAAAAUUUAGUUAAUACUACAAAAUUCCAAGAGAUGAGGAUUUAUAUGGUCUGAAUAUUUUUGUCCUCCAAAUUCAUAUGUUGAAACCUUCACCCACAAAGGUGAUAAUAGUAGAUUGGGGCCAUUGGAAGGUAAUUAGGUCGUGAAGGUGGAGCCGUUAUGAAUGGGAUUAGUGCCUUGUAAAAGAGACCUCCAAGAGAUCUGUAGCCCCUCCCAGCAUGUAAAGACCCAAAAGGCAGUUUCUGCAAUCUGAAGACAGCCCUCACCGGGAACAUACUGGCACCCUGAUCUUGGACAUCUAGCCUGCAGAACUGUGAGAAAUAAAUUUUUAUUGUUUAUGAGUCACCUAUUUUAUGAUAUUUUGUUAUAACAUACCAGUUGGACUAAGACAAGGAUGUUUCAUACACGAUAAAACUCUUAUCCCCAUUAAAGUGUAUAUAUUCAACAACAGGAAGUGACAGCUAUCUCUGUAUCUUUUUAAAAACCACUCAAAAAGAGAAUGAAUAAAGGUCAUUUUAAAAAGACGUUUUUUAAGCCUGAAUAGGAAAUGAAAUCAAUCUGAGCGAUAUAUCAUAUUUAGGCUACUGUAGGAGCCUGGCCAGAGUUCUCUACUGGGCUUCUUCGUGUUAACAUCCAUCAGAAUGUUCAGCCAGAGAUGGUAAAAGAAGGUGGUUCCAUGGGUAUAAACUGCCAUUCAUUUUACCUUUAAUGUUCCUUCUGGGGCUUAUAUGAGGGGAAUAGAUUUAGCCUAAAUAUGUCAAAGGGAUGUAGUUAAAGGACUGGACCUCAGACAUACCUAAGACCUGAAUUUAAAGAAGGAUAAUCCUCAGAAAUUGAUCUUGAACUCACCUGAUGGAAAUGUCUUGGGAUUUCUUUAUACCAGUUGUAUAUGGUGAGUGGAUAGGCAGAUAAGCUAGAAACUGCAGAGAAGUCAGGCAGGAGAGGGUACCAGGAGGGUCUGAAGUUUACUCCUAGCUUACAACUCCAACAAUAACAAAGAUUCAUUUUUACUCUGGUAGAUUUCUCACUCAAAAUGGGUAGAAUCAUUUAUAGCUUAUGCAACUACUGAGGUAUUUAGAGGCUUAGGAUGAAAAAUUCUGCCAGGGGAAAUGCUAUAUUGCAACUCUGAGUGAUUUGUAACUGUGCUAAAAGUACUCAAUGUUCUUUAAAUGGUUUGUUAUUUUCUCUUCUGAGCUAUGUCUCCCUGUUCUUGGAAACUGAUUUAGAUUUAUUUCUCAGGCAGCUGGAAUAUUUUCUUCCAGUAAGGUAAAUGGGUGGUAUGUUUUUUUUUUUAAAUCCGUCUAUGUCUGAGAGUGUAUUUAUCUUGCCCUCACAUGUAAUUUGGCUGGAUACAAAAUUCUUGAUAACAUUUUUCUUUCAAAAUGAUGUAGCUACUAUUUUUAUUGGUUCUGACUUUGAGCAUUAUAGAAACAAAGUCUAUUAAAAAAUAUGAUUUUUUUCCAUUUUAGGUAACUUGUAUGUUUGUUUCUUUUUCCUGAUACAUAAUUGCAGAAAUGUUUUUUUAUCCUUGAAAUUCUGAAUUUCAAGUAGCAUUUUUCCAAGUGUGUCUUUCUUAAUUCUUCUCUACUUCUGGAACCUCAGCUGAAAGCAUAUUUUUCCUCUUGAUUCUCUCCUCUAUUUCCCUUAUCUUUUGGCUAAUCAUAUUCCUUGCUUUUCGUUUUUCUUUGAGUUAUGGAUAAUUAGUUCCUCAUGUUUUUUAAGUCAUUGAUUUGGCAAUCUGUGGUAUCCUGAUCACCACCUCUCCUGGCUGUUUAAAAAAUUUUUAAGUAGAAAUUUUAUAGACAUAAAACAUUCAUAAAGAAAAAAAGCACAAAUAAUAAGUGCAAAAGUCAUUGAAUUUCAAUUGUAUGUCUUCAAGUAAUUGAAGCUGAGUCCCCCCAAAACCAAGUUCCUCUGAUAAGUUUAUAAUUAACCUCCCUAGCCAAAAUUUUAUUCCCUUUCUUGUCCAGAACCUAUUCCCCUCAAGACUGAAGAAUAUCAAACAAAAGGGGGAAUUGAAACCACAUACAAACCCCUUUGUCCCUGUCCUUUGAAGUAAAAAGCUUUUAGGUUAGUCUCCCAGGCCUCCCCUGAGUCUCGAAAGGCUGGCUCAGGAGUUAAUGGUUAGGAAAUGAGAAGAUGUACCAAGGAGAAGUAGCUGUUGGGCCGAGAAACUGGUAACAAUUUUAGACUAUGAAUCCACUACAUAGCAGAAUCACUGAACUUCCAUUUCCCUGAAGUUAUGGAUAAAGUCCCAGCACACAUUCCUAAGUUGUGCUUGGGUCUUUUAGGCACUGCCUGUCUGGACUCCUCGCUUGGUGCUCUGUAAUAAAUGCUGCACUUUCCUCCACCGCAAACCAGUGUCGGUAGACUGACUUUGCUGCUUGCUGGCGCAGAGACCCAAGUUUGGUUGGGUAACAAUUUUGGUACCUCAGAUGCGAUAGCACAUCAGCCCUGGCCAGUGACAGCUCUUGGAUCCUGUCCAGCAGCUGCUUAAGCACCUUUGUCUCAGGGACAGUCCAGAGUGCUGGCCACCGACCGGUGCGGCUGGCCCAUGGUGCUUUCAAUUCUGUGAUGAAGGGACAGAGCUCUGGUUUUGGUCUGUGUCUACUAAUUGACAGAGACAGACAUUCGGGAGUCAACGGGCUUGAUGUAGGAGGAAUUCUGACCCUGAGAGGACAGAAAUAUUCCUAGGAGAAACCUUGAAGUUACAACUCUCUAUCAUGGCCGUGAAACGCAAACACAGCCCACAUUGCCUAAGACUCCUGACCUUGGGUUAAUUACCAAAACUUCAAAUCAAAAGAAAAAAAAAAGGAGGGGAAAGAGGCUUCUUUAAACUCAAAUAAAAUAAGCAAUUUUAACUUAUUCCAAAUGUUAUUUUUGGUUUUGUGUUUGUCAGAUGAAUCGCUAUGAUGUGUGAGGUCAUUACUCCCUGUCUUUCCAUUUGCAUGUUGUUUGUUGUUAAAAAGAAAGACUUUUGUUUGAGAAAGUUGAGAAACUUGUUGGACUUCACCUAUUUAUUUUUGGCCUGCAGGAAUUAGAUUUUGUUCUUUGUGUGUAUGUUUGCAUUUGUCUUGUGAUUAAGUGUGCCCACUAUGGGAGAUUCAAAUUCAUUUCCUGAAUGCAGCCCCUGCAGUUGCGUUCUCCAGAACUGAACUGCUUUCAGUUACAAACCAAUGAAAUGUAAAAAGAUGAUUUUCCUUUGCAAUAUGGCCUGGCCAUAAUGCUCCCUAGAUUUAGGGGAAAAAGUGGCUUAUUAACGGAUCCCUAAACUAUGCUACUAUUAUACAAUUCGAAUUGUUUUCAAUAGACAGAGAAAAAGGAGAUAAAAUUUACAAACUAAGAAGUUUUACAUUGUAAUAUCUGAUUCAUAAAUAAGUUUUAAAAUGAAACUAUGAGAUCUCUGUCUGGAAGUACGUAUGUCUAUGUGUGAUACUAUGAUAAGUUAUAAGAGAUAAAGAGGAUAAAAGCUUUUUGAGUGAACCCUGGGGGAGUAAUUGUGUUUUAGAAAUGUCUACUUAAAAAUAAUUUUCCCAGAUGUUCGGUAACUUGAAACUUUGGAGUUUUGCUAAGUUAAAUUAAAUGAUAAGAACUCAUUGAAUGUCUAAAUCAUUUUUAAGAUAAAAUAGUAAAACAUUGAUUGCUAGACAAGUCUAAGUUUGUCUCUUUUGCCUUGUUAUGAGAAAAAUUAAACAUGUUUUGGUUUAUUAGGUACACAUCUUGUACCACAUUAAAAAGAGAAAUUAGACUUUGUGGAAAUGUAUGUUUUUAAAGAUUAUAGAUUAUGUUAAGUUUGCUAAUCAGGAAAUACUGGUCUGACAGACAGAGUCAAUUACUUGCUUCUUGGUUUUUGCUAGAGGUUAAGGUUUUUAAGGGUUAAAAAUGAUAAUAUAUGUAAUUAAACUACUAAAGUAAUAAAAAUGCAUUUCAGUGUAUAAAAGAAGUAGGAUAUAUGUUGUCAGUGAUAAAAGGUAUAUAGAAUGGAAAUACCUGUUUAAGGCCAAAAAAAAAAAAAAGGAGAAUAAUUUUGUCCUAGAGCUGGUUGUUUCUGGAUGGGAAAAAAAAAUUAACGGGAUGAACUAAUAUGGAUACAGAAGGUGAUGGAAAGUUUGUAGAAAGGAAUCUUGAGAAAAGGAUUUUGUGCUUGGUCAGGAUUGACUAAGGUUAGAUUGAAUUUUAUUAAGUAAAUGAAUUUGGUUACUAACAGUAAGCUGGUACGAAACUGAGUCUGGUUUUCUCUGUCAAGAGAACAAAGUUUUCUUGCUAUACUGCUUCUGGUAGCACAUGGGGUAAGUUUCUUUUGAAGCAUUUUGUCAGUUUGGUGAAGUGGAAAAGUAUUGUUUCACAGUGAUCUAUAAUUCUAUUUGACCAAGUGUUUUGAAACUUUUUAAUAUUUUUUGGCAGACUUCCCAUAUAUCAAAUUCUAAUUAAAGUUCUCUUUCCUCCAGCUAACUUUGGGAUGUUUCAGAAGGCCCCUGAGUCAUCUCAGAAAAAAAUAUUAAAUGAACUAGGAUUAUUUGGUAGGUUAAAUUACAUAGAAAGCAUUGUCAAAUAAUAAACAUUCUUAGGUCAUACUGUGUGGGUAAAUGUCAUUAAUAUAAAUGCUCUAAAAAUUAUACAAAAUUUCUAAAAUUUGAAUAUGUCCUGGUAUUAUGUUCUUACUUAUACUUCUGGUUAUUAUUUUAAUAUGUUGUAUGGCACAGCAACUUGGUUAAGUUUCUUUGUCAAUUAAAUCGUGCUCAGAUCUUUGUGCCUUUUUAAGUUUUUCAUCAGACAGUUAUUGUUUCACUCUGAUGCUUUUGCGAAAGUAAUUUAUCUUCAAGAAGAUUCAUCAAAAGGACUUUUCAACAGGUACCGAUAACUUUCAGAUCGUGCUGCUGAACUAGGUAAGAAAUUUUAGAAUUCUGGUGGAAACCCCAAAGGUUUCGUAAGACUGUUAAUAAAAAGGGUUAGUUACACAAGACUGAGUGAACUGAUAAAUAUGGCUAUAUUUUUAUGUCUUUUGUCUACAUUUCAAUUACUGGCUUCCAGUCUGCAUUUUCCAGAUAAAAGGAAACCUCUCCCCUUAAGCUGAAUAUGAUUUAUAACAACUUGAUAAAUUAUACUUUAUAAGUAGAAUUGAAACAUUUAUCUUUUUCUCUUUACCUAAUCCCUCCAGAAAUUGAAAACUCUUAGGUUCCCAGCUGCCUAAUCAGGUGAACAAGGACGGUCACCUCCUGACAGAUGCAAGAAUCUCAAGAUAUUUUGGGGACCUUGACAAGAGAGGAAUUCACAUAAAUCUAUAGAUAUUGCAGGCAGAAUCUGUGACAAGCCCUUGGCAUGGCUUUCUAGGCCUUGAGUGAUCUUUUAAAAGUCUAAGACUAAUUAUGAAGAAUUCCAGCACAACCAAUUUAUUAUUUUUUUUUUUUUUACUAAUUUCGUCUGUUUCUUUUUACUUUUUGCUUGUUUGUUUUGUCUUUUUGAGGCAGGGAUGGGAGGUAAUUAGGUUUUGUUUAUUAAUUUAUUUUUCAGUGGAGGUACUGGGGAUUGGACCCAGGACCUUGUGAAUGCUAAUCACAUACUCUACCACUGGGUUAUACCCUCCCCACCCUUGGCACAGCCAAUUUAAAAGAGCCUAUAUGAUCAACUAAUCAGACUUAUUUGGCAAACAAAUUAGUCUUAACUUGGCUAUAUCUGAUAAAAAUGAAGGUAAUUUUAGAGAAAAAAAUUAUGUUUCAAUGGAUAUUAAAUUCUAGUUUUGUUAAAUAAGGUCAGUAGUUGCUGCCUGAGACUCCCUUUCCAAAUAAACCUUUGUUGCUAUGUUAUAUUAUUGUAAAAUUUAAUUGAGUUCUUAAGAAGAUAUUCUAAGCUUGUUUCUGAAGCUGAUCAAGGUAAUCUAUCUUUGGAUGAAGAUCAGAUGGCCCAUGAGCUACAACAAGGGGAUUAUGCACCCUGGAAAAAGCAUUAUUUAAAGGACUGUCUCCAACCUAGAUAAAAGGACUCUUAUCAAGUAUUCUUAAGUACCUCAUACACAGUGAAACUGAAAGAAAUUAACUCUUGAACUCCUACUUCCCACUUAAGAAGUGCCUCUAUAUUGGACUUGUCAAUAGAAAGGACUGCUGACCUCAAAUAACACCCACACCAAGACAAGAAGAUGACAGCAAUGUUAGACAGCUAAUGCAAGAAUCCACACCAGGCCAGUAAGACCUAUCAUACUAAUUUAAUUGAACUAUUUACUAAAUGUUUGUUUCCCUAUCAACAUUGAAAGUUAUUGUUUUACUUCUAGCUAUACUAUUGCCCCUAGUGUUUAGGAUGGGAAAAAAAUGUCUAAUAAAGUUAUCACAGAGUGUCACUA